GGACCAUAUCACCUUGAAACACCGGUUCUUGUACGACCACCGAAGUUAAGCAACGUCGAGCCUGCUCAGUACCUAGGUGGGUGACCGCUUUGGAAUGCCAAAUGUUGUAAG
Molecule: non-coding RNA, 111 nt
Organism: Acanthosepion pharaonis
Lineage: Eukaryota; Metazoa; Mollusca; Cephalopoda; Sepiida; Sepiidae
Source: the annotation of a GenBank genome assembly